AGCGAACGCUGGCGGCAGGCCUAACACAUGCAAGUCGAACGAACCUUUCGGGGUUAGUGGCGGACGGGUGAGUAACACGUGGGAACGUGCCUUUAGGUUCGGAAUAACUCAGGGAAACUUGUGCUAAUACCGAAUGUGCCCUUCGGGGGAAAGAUUAAUCGCCUUUAGAGCGGCCCGCGUCUGAUUAGCUAGUUGGUUGAGGUAAUGGCUCACCAAGGCGACGAUCAGUAGCUGGUCUGAGAGGAUGAUCAGCCACAUUGGGACUGAGACACGGCCCAAACUCCUACGGGAGGCAGCAGUGGGGAAUCUUGCGCAAUGGGCGAAAGCCUGACGCAGCCAUGCCGCGUGAAUGAUGAAGGUCUUAGGAUUGUAAAAUUCUUUCAACGGGGACGAUAAUGACGGUACCCGGAGAAGAAGCCCCGGCUAACUUCGUG
RNAcentral lists this ribosomal RNA (434 nucleotides) under uncultured bacterium. RNAcentral's name for it is "partial 16S ribosomal RNA". It matches the Rfam family "Bacterial small subunit ribosomal RNA", at positions 29 to 507 of the family's 1533-position model. The record is from RNAcentral.